Molecule: transfer RNA, 72 nt
Filed under: Camelus bactrianus (Bactrian camel)
Lineage: Eukaryota; Metazoa; Chordata; Mammalia; Artiodactyla; Camelidae
Also listed under: 2 other names
Rfam family: tRNA
About the family: Transfer RNA (tRNA) molecules are approximately 80 nucleotides in length. Their secondary structure includes four short double-helical elements and three loops (D, anti-codon, and T loops).
Source: Rfam by way of RNAcentral
GUGUGUAAAGCUCAAUGGUAGAGUGUGUGCUUAGCAUGCAUGAGGUCCUGGGUUCAAUCCCCAGUGCCUCCA